GCGAACCUCUUUCCACCUGUGUGGACUUGAUUGCGUGUGGACCGAACUGUGCCUGAGUUUCUGACUCUUUAGCUUAACUGUUUGUUCUUCCACCCGAAUGUAGUCGAGCAUUUUAAGACCAUUGUUUGUUUGUUUGUUUUGAUUAGUCAAAUAAUUCAUUAUUCUUCAACGUCCAAAGAAAACGGAACAAGUUUGGUGCGAUUUAUUGGGUUCUCUGAAGGACUGGUCUCCGGUCUUCUGUUUCCAGAGUCACUGUGUUGACAGACAACAGGAAGAUGAAGACAAAUAACAGAUGAAAAAUCACUGGACCAUAGUUUCUUAACCAUCAGAGGAAAGAAGUUCAAACUUUUCCAGCUUUACAUAAAGAGAAACCGACGUCAGCUGAUGAUGAAACCUUUCACAUUCCUCACCGUAAAAGAAAGAUGUCUUGACUCCAGAACUUUCUAAAUGCCGUGAGCCCUUGGGCCAGGGAAUCGUGCGCUGGUGUGCUGACUUAGUCUGAAGUGCUGUUAUGAAGGCAGUGUGUCAUUAGCAGUGAAGGUGAGAGCGUGGCCUGACGCCCCCUUCUGGGAGCCGUUAGUCACGACGCUGAUGCAGGAAAAAUAAUGGAAUAAUUAGUUAAGAAAAGUUUGGACUCAACCACGCGGUUAAAAUAGAAAAGGUGAGCAGAUAAAAUGUGAAGUGUUGUCUUGGCUGAUAAGUAUUCUUAUCUACUGCGUGUGUGUGUGUGUGUGUGUUUUACAUUACCUUAAUGUGAGUGUGAAAAGUGACCGACCUGAGAGACGACAGCCAGGUGAUGUCAUCAACAUCACCGUGGUGAUGAUUGGUUAAAGGGUGUCACCUGACUGUCUGUCCUGUGGACAGGAAGUGUUCUGUCGUGACAUCACCAUCGUUCAAUCUUCAGUCAAAAGUUUCAAUUAUGAAAAAAACCGAAACUGUUUCUCGUCACGUCCUGCGUCUUUGCCGCAGCCCACAGAGUUGUGUGACCACAUGUUCCUUAGCUAAGAGUCGGUACCAGGUACCAGUGUCCUCGUACGUAGUGUCACUGGUGUGUGAGCUGCAGAGUGAAAGAGGAAAAGACAGAGAAAGACGGUGAAAUAACUGUAAAAAAAGACCUUAAAGAAAUGAUCAAAGUAAAACUUAGUGCUUAGUGAGUAGUUGUUAUUUUUAGUUGAUGGUUCUGUUUGACAAACUCAGUCCGUUUAUGGGCUUUUAUUUUAGUUUUCUGAUCAGUGAUUGGCUGAACACAGACGGAUGAGACGGAUGUUGACUUUCAAGGUCAAACUGAACGAUUCCGUCCCCUGGAAAUGUCCCUCUUUAUUACUUCCUCCAUGUUCAUCAGCCAAGUUUCUCUCCUGAGAAUAAUCUUCCUUUCUUUUCUUGAAAAAAAAAAAAAAGUCAUCUUUUCAAAUCCAGGUCCCAUUGAUCAGCGACAGUGGUCCGACGGGAAUGACUGAAUGAGAAAAACAACUGGAGUGAAUUCCUGAUUCACAUCCGCUCAGCAGCUUGAGAAACAGUUGUAAUCAAUUUCAAAUGUCUUUGUUGAAUGUUGAAUAGUGAAAAUUCAUGACGUGGAUAUUAAUGAGAAGAGAGAAUUGUCGGUUUGACGUCUUUCAGCACCGCGUUGGGUGUUCCUCAGAGCGGCGGUGAAUCCGCCGUAACAGUGGUGUUGUGAUUGUUUUGAAGCCACCGUGGUCUCAGGUGUGUAGGGCGACCCCUGUUGGCCAUGGUUAAAAGGCUGUAGAUUAGAUUAGACCAGAUUGAACAUUAUUGAUCCCACACUGGGAAAAGUGUUGAAAUGAGUAGAAGAAAUCGCACCAGACAGGAAGUGGACCAACUGUCAGUCAAGUCUUAUUUCAUCCUCACUGG
Cynoglossus semilaevis (tongue sole) is the source of this 1869-nucleotide long non-coding RNA. RefSeq lists it as uncharacterized. The transcript has 3 exons. The record is from RefSeq and is a predicted model, not a curated record. Lineage: Eukaryota; Metazoa; Chordata; Actinopteri; Pleuronectiformes; Cynoglossidae.